GCAGAUGUAGCCAAGUGGAUCAAUGCAGUGGAUUGUGAAUCCACCAUGGGCGGGUUCAAUUCUCGUCUUUCACC
This is a non-coding RNA of Gossypium raimondii (Peruvian cotton), 74 nucleotides long. Lineage: Eukaryota; Viridiplantae; Streptophyta; Magnoliopsida; Malvales; Malvaceae. The record is from Rfam.